AAAAGAACAAAACACCAAGAGUGAAUUCACAAACAAAUCAGUAUAGAAAACAUAUUAUUAUUUUCUCUCAAUUUCAAUAUUUCUCUCUUUGUUCUGUGAGGACGUACACAACACACAGAAGAAGAUAUGGCGAAGGUUUCAAUCAUAUUUACCUUUGUAGUGGUCAUGCUCAGUCUAAUGGCUACCAAUAAUGGAUUUGGUGUUCUCUCAAUAAGGACAGAAACAAGUGAGAGAGAGUCAUCAAAAUCAAAGAUAUGCCACAAUGAUUAUGAGUGCUACCGUAUUCUACCUAGCUGCGGAGGACUUCCUCAUUGCAACGAGGGUCAAUGCAUGUGUAUAUACAAACAAUAAUAAUGUUUAAACAUACAAGACAUUAUUAUGAGCAAAUAAAAUGUUUAACCAUUGCAAAUGCUUAAUUA
Molecule: long non-coding RNA, 419 nt
Organism: Arachis ipaensis
Lineage: Eukaryota; Viridiplantae; Streptophyta; Magnoliopsida; Fabales; Fabaceae
Source: RefSeq, a predicted model, not a curated record